RNAcentral lists this ribosomal RNA (468 nucleotides) under uncultured bacterium. RNAcentral describes it as "partial 16S ribosomal RNA". It matches the Rfam family "Bacterial small subunit ribosomal RNA", at positions 28 to 507 of the family's 1533-position model. The record is from RNAcentral.
GACGAACGCUGGCGGCGUGCUUAACACAUGCAAGUCGAACGGAAAGGCCCUGCUUUUGUGGGGUGCUCGAGUGGCGAACGGGUGAGUAACACGUGAGUAACCUGCCCUUGACUUUGGGAUAACUUCAGGAAACUGGGGCUCAUACCGGAUAGGAGCUCCUGCUGCAUGGUGGGGGUUGGAAAGUUUCGGCGGUUGGGGAUGGACUCGCGGCUUAUCAGCUUGUUGGUGGGGUAGUGGCUUACCAAGGCUUUGACGGGUAGCCGGCCUGAGAGGGUGACCGGCCACAGUGGGACUGAGAUACGGCGCAGACUCCUACGGGAGGCAGCAGUGGGGAAUAUUGCACAAUGGGCGGAAGCCUGAUGCAGCAACGCCGCGUGCGGGAUGACGGCCUUCGGGUUGUAAACCGCUUUCGCCUGUAACGAAGCGUGAGUGACGGUAAUGGGUAAAGAAGCACCGGCUAACUACGUG